This is a non-coding RNA of Pelobates cultripes (western spadefoot toad), 256 nucleotides long. Lineage: Eukaryota; Metazoa; Chordata; Amphibia; Anura; Pelobatidae. The record is from the annotation of a GenBank genome assembly.
CUCUCUCACAGCACUCUCUCACACACAGCACUCUCUCACACAGCACUCUCACACCCAUCACACACAGCACUCUCACACACACACACAGCACUCUCACACCCAUCACACUCACAGCACUCUCUCACACAGCACUCUCUCACACCCAUCUCACACAGCACUCCCACACGGCACUCUCACGGCACUCAUCACACACACCGCACCCCUCACACACACACCGCACCCUCACACACACACAUACUGCACCCCUCACAUACAC